AGACUAUGUAGACGGUGAAAGCAGACUUCGUCAUUCAUCAAAUUUUUCUGAUUGGAAUGAAUUGAUGGUAUCGCAAUUACCGAAAUUCAAGUCAAAUUUGGCAGUGUCUAUAGAUUUUUUAAACGGGUAUUAUGCAACCAAAAAAUUAUACAAAUCAGAUUUCUACUAUAAAGUUCAAUUUGCAUUUGAUCAUGGAAAGUUUCAAACAACUUGGAUAAUGGCAGUUAUUCCUAAAAGCGAAUUAAUUUUGUCAGAAAUCAACUUUUUUUUUAUAUACAAUAGAGAAUCUAUUGUUAAAUUUAAAUAUACAUAUAAUUACGCCUCUUUAAAAGACGUAGGAGAAAACACUGCUAUAAAAUAUUUUUGGGAACAAUUGGGAGAGGAGGACAUGGAGAAUGCCUUGAGAUUCCUAUCCUUGGCACCGCUUGUCCUUGUUGGCAUAGUGUCAUACAAGAUUUAUUUGUCGAACACAAAUAAAAGUUGAGAUGGCAUUGAAGAGCUUUUUUGUGUCUUUUGUGGUAUAAGUAACUGCAGCAAAAAUCUAUCGAUCAAUCUUGGUGUAGCUAUUUCAUUGUGACAUAAUAAGGCCUAAUAUUGUCAUCUUCAGAUUUUUGCUAUAAAAGUCUAAAUUUGACCCCAUAAUUCUUUAUUAUUAUC
Molecule: long non-coding RNA, 657 nt
Organism: Schistocerca gregaria
Lineage: Eukaryota; Metazoa; Arthropoda; Insecta; Orthoptera; Acrididae
Exons: 3
Source: RefSeq, a predicted model, not a curated record